RNAcentral lists this ribosomal RNA (468 nucleotides) under uncultured bacterium. RNAcentral describes it as "partial 16S ribosomal RNA". It matches the Rfam family "Bacterial small subunit ribosomal RNA", at positions 28 to 507 of the family's 1533-position model. The record is from RNAcentral.
GACGAACGCUGGCGGCGUGCUUAACACAUGCAAGUCGAACGGAAAGGCCCUGCUUUUGUGGGGUGCUCGAGUGGCGAACGGGUGAGUAACACGUGAGUAACCUGCCCUUGACUUUGGGAUAACUUCAGGAAACUGGGGCUAAUACCGGAUAGGAGCUCCUGCUGCAUGGUGGGGGUUGGAAAGUUUCGGCGGUUGGGGAUGGACUCGCGGCUUAUCAGCUUGUUGGUGGGGUAGUGGCUUACCAAGGCUUUGACGGGUAGCCGGCCUGAGAGGGUGACCGGCCACAUUGGGACUGAGAUACGGCCCAGACUCCUACGGGAGGCAGCAGUGGGGAAUAUUGCACAAUGGGCGGAAGGCUGAUGCAGCCACGCCGCGUGCGGGAUGACGGCCUUCGGGUUGGAAACCGCUUUCGCCUGUGACGAAGCGUGAGUGACGGUAAUGGGUAAAGAAGCACCGGCUAACUACGUG